GAUGAGCGCUGGCGGCGUGCCUAAUACAUGCAAGUCGAGCGAACAGACGAGGAGCUUGCUCCUCUGACGUUAGCGGCGGACGGGUGAGUAACACGUGGAUAACCUACCUAUAAGACUGGGAUAACUUCGGGAAACCGGAGCUAAUACCGGAUAAUAUAUUGAACCGCAUGGUUCAAUAGUGAAAGACGGUUUUGCUGUCACUUAUAGAUGGAUCCGCGCCGGAUUAGCUAGUUGGUAAGGUAAAGGCUUACCAAGGCAACGAUGCGUAGCCGACCGGAGGGGGUGGUCGGCCACACUGGAACUGAGACACGGUCCAUACUCCUACGGGACGCAGCAGUAGGGAAUCUUCCGCAAUGGUCGAAAGCCUUACGGAGCAACGCCGCGUGAGUGAUGAAGGUCUUCGGAUCGUAAAACUCUGUUAUUAGGGAAGAACAAAUGUGUAAGUAACUAUGCACGUCUUGACGGUACCUAAUCAGAAAGCCACGGCUAACUACGUG
This 497-nucleotide ribosomal RNA is filed under the name uncultured bacterium. RNAcentral describes it as "partial 16S ribosomal RNA". It matches the Rfam family "Bacterial small subunit ribosomal RNA", at positions 28 to 507 of the family's 1533-position model. The record is from RNAcentral.